RNAcentral lists this ribosomal RNA (378 nucleotides) under uncultured eukaryote. Its description in RNAcentral is "partial 18S ribosomal RNA". It matches the Rfam family "Eukaryotic small subunit ribosomal RNA", at positions 592 to 976 of the family's 1831-position model. The record is from RNAcentral.
CAAUAGCGUAUAUUUAAGUUGUUGCAGUUAAAAAGCUUGUAGUUGGAUUUCGGGUGGGACGCAGCGGUCUCGCAUUGCGUUUGUACUGCUGCAGCCCUCCUUCUUGCCGGGGGCGGCCUCUCGGACUUCACUGUCUGGGGGUCAGAAUCGGCGAUGUUACUUUGAGUAAAUUAGAGUGUUCAAAGCAAGCUUACGCUCUGAAUAUAAUAGCAUGGGAUAACACGACAGGACUCUGGCCUAUCGUGUUGGUCUAUAGGACCAGAGUAAUGAUUAAGAGGGACAGUCGGGGGCAUUCGUAUUCCGUUGUCAGAGGUGAAAUUCUUGGAUUUACGGAAGACGAACAUCUGCGAAAGCAUUUGCCAAGGAUGUUUUCAUUGA